GUAGUCAAAUGCUUGUCUAAAAGAUUAAGCCAUGCAUGUAUAAGCUAAGCUGAUAAAUAGUGAAGCCGCGGACAGCUCAUUAAUACACUCAUAAUCUUCGCAAUGCAUCCAAUAUGGAUAUCUGUGCUAAUUUUAGAGCUAAUACACGCAAUCAAGCCCCUUAAUUGGGGAGCAUUUAUUAGAACAAAACCGAUCGGGGUCUCCCCGCUGUUGGUGAAUCUGAAUAACUGUGCAGAUCGCAGGUCUUUGUACCGGCGACACAUUGCAAGAGUGAGUGCCUUAUCAACUGUCGAUGGUAGUAUAUAUGCCUACCAUGGUUAUUACGGGUAACGGAGAAUUAGGGUUUGACUCCGGAGAGGCAGCCUGAGAGACGGCUACCAGUUCUAAGGAACGCAGCAGGCGCGCAAAUUACACAAUGACAGUAAACUGUUGAUGUAGUGACAAGAGGUAACGGGGCGGUCCUCUAUGAGGCCCGUCAUUGUAUUGAGUAAAACUCAAAAUAUUUAACGAAACCAAUUGGAGGGCAAGUCUGGUGCCAGCAGCCGCGGUAAUUCCAGCUCCAAAAGCAUAUAUUAAAGUUGUUGCGGUUAAAAAGCUCGUAGUUGGAUCCAUGACCUCGGAGGGCGGUCCCCCACUGGGUGCGUACUGCUGCUCCGAGUCCUAUCUGUCAGUUUGUCUGUGUUGCCUUUAAUCGGGUGGCACAGGUGACUGACGUGUUUACUUUGAAAGAAUUAGAGUGUUUAAAGCAGGCGUUGAAUGCCUGAAUAGUGGUGCAUGGAAUAAUGGAAUAGGAUCUCGGUUCUAUUUUGUUGGUUCAAGAGCAUGAGAAAAUGAUUAAGAGGGACAGACGGGGGCAUUUGUAUUGCUGCGUUAGAGGUGAAAUUCUUGGAUCGUAGCAAGACAAACUACUGCGAAGGCAUUUGCCAAGAAUGUUUUCAUUAAUCAAGAACGAAAGUUAGAGGUUCGAAGGCGAUCAGAUACCGCCCUAGUUCUAACCGUAAACCAUGUCGACUAGCUAUCUGUCAGCGUUAAUAAUGACCUGACAGGCAGCUUACCGGAAACGAAAGUUUCUCGAUUCCGGGGGUAGUAUGGUUGCAAAGCUGAAACUUAAAGGAAUUGACGGAAGGGCACCACCAGGAGUGGAGCCUGCGGCUUAAUUUGACCCAACACGGGAAAACUCACCCGGCCCGGACACCGUAAGGAUUGACAGAUUAAUAGCUUUUUCUCGAUUUGGUGAUUGGUGGUGCAUGGCCGUUCUUAGUUGGUGGAGCGAUUUGUCUGGUUAAUUCCGAUAACGAACGAGAUUCUAACUUACUAACUAGUUCCACGAUCCUUGUGGUCCUAAAUACUUCUUAGAGG
RNAcentral lists this ribosomal RNA (1359 nucleotides) under metagenome. RNAcentral's name for it is "SSU rRNA". It matches the Rfam family "Eukaryotic small subunit ribosomal RNA", at positions 20 to 1417 of the family's 1831-position model. The record is from RNAcentral.